Molecule: ribosomal RNA, 461 nt
Filed under: uncultured bacterium
Lineage: Bacteria
Description: bacterial SSU rRNA
Rfam family: Bacterial small subunit ribosomal RNA
Source: RNAcentral
ACAGAUUGCCGGAACACGUACACAACUUUCCUUUAAGUGGGGAAUAGCCCGGGGAAACCCGGAUUAAUACCCCGUAAUAUUAUGAAGUGGCAUCACUUUWUAAUUAUCGCUCCGGCGCUUGAAGACGGGUGUGCGCUGAUUAGGUAGUUGGCGGGGUACGGCCCACCAAGCCWCGAUCAAGUACUGGUGUGAGACACNACCAGUCCACGGGCACUGAGACACGGGCCCNACUCCUAACGGGAGGAGCAGUAAGGAAUAUUGGUCAAUGGMNCAAGUCUGAACCAGCCAUGCCGCGUUGGAGGAUGAAAGGUCCUCUGGAUUGUAAACUUCUUUUAUUUGGGAAGAAACCCAUAUUUUCUAAUGUGKUGACGGUACCAGAUGAAUAGCACCGCUAACUCCGUGCCAGCAGCCGCGGUUAUACGGAGGUGCAAGCGUUAUCCGGAUUCMUGGGUUUAAAGGGU